CCUGCAACUAGGAGCAGCCUGUGCAGCACCUGCUGUGUGGAGGAGGGAAACCCCAGCCUGAGAUGCUCGGGCGGGGGCUGGGCGCUGAGACGGGAGGCUCUGGAGGAAAUCAGCUGCCCUGCGCAGGGCGCCUGCGCUGUUUCCAUGACGACCCGUCUCCCAGCCCUGGGCCUUUCAGCUGCUCCCCAUCCCAGUUAACCCCAGAUGAGAACCAGCCAUCACAGCCCACGGAGCCCUGGUAA
This 242-nucleotide long non-coding RNA is filed under the name Sus scrofa (pig). RNAcentral describes it as "lncRNA (ENSSSCG00035038528.1)". The record is from RNAcentral. Lineage: Eukaryota; Metazoa; Chordata; Mammalia; Artiodactyla; Suidae.